GUGGUGUUGUAGAUGGUAGUGAUCUCACCAACAGUUCACAAGGUAAACAUCUGAUGGUGAGCGAUCUCAAACACAGUUCGUUCUGGGAAAUAUCAGAGAGUGAGUCUUCUCACACACAGUUCAUCAGGUAAACAUCAGAUCUUCAGGUAAACAUCAGAAUAGCUUAGUCACUUCCCUUAAUCAGUUGUUCAUACAUCCACAGGAGAAAUGGAGACAUCCAUGGGAGAAGAAGAGUGGAAGAAGGAGAGGUGACGUAAAGCAUCCAACUUCGAUACCGGUCAAUGAGCGAGAGAAUAAGGACACCAAGGGGGAGGAGAUGCCCUCAAAGAAGUCGGCAAUCCGAUCGCACAUGUCGAAGUUUUUAAAGGAAAAGAAAGCAGUGACCUUGAACCGUGGACCUAAUGGUCUUUAAAUAUAGAUGGAUGCGUGUGUUCCUGGGGCAGAUGGCCAUGAUGCUUUGCUAUGCAUAUGGCUCACUGAUUAUGUCUCCAGCAGGGUGUCAGAACUGAUGAGGCAGCACUGGAGCAGAGUGUUGUGCCAUUUGCAUUGGAGCUUUACUGCUUAGUUGCAUGGAUGGCCACACUGCGUCUCUUAAUGUCAGAGGGCGAAUCUUGAAAACAAACA
Molecule: long non-coding RNA, 624 nt
Filed under: Danio rerio (zebrafish)
Lineage: Eukaryota; Metazoa; Chordata; Actinopteri; Cypriniformes; Danionidae
Description: lncRNA si:dkey-25g12.2 (ENSDARG00000097167.2)
Source: RNAcentral